Molecule: long non-coding RNA, 215 nt
Filed under: Elaeis guineensis (African oil palm)
Lineage: Eukaryota; Viridiplantae; Streptophyta; Magnoliopsida; Arecales; Arecaceae
Description: long non-coding RNA (EGUI_LNC062571)
Source: RNAcentral
UACAGUAAGCAGCCUCCUUCCGGACUCCUACAAGAAUCGGACUCCGUCCGAACUUCUACAAUAGAAUUGGAUUCCAGACGAACUUCUACAAUGGAUGGGCUCCAUCUCAGUUACAACUGAGUAGUGCUGGAUGCCAAGGAAGGAGUUUGAAUCUUCUAUGGUCUCCACUAUUAUGACCUCCCAGUGAUCAGCCCAUGUGGUGGUGGUCAUGGACC